AAGGAAUAUUGCUCAAUGGGAGAAAUCCUGAAGCAGCAACGCCGCGUGGAGGAUGAAGGGUCUAUGACUUGUAAACUCCUGUAAAGAAGGAAAAAAUUCCCAUUUGAUGGGAGAUGAUGGUACUUCUGGAGUAAGCCCCGGCUAACUACGUGCCAGCAGCCGCGGUAAUACGUAGGGGGCAAGCGUUGUCCGGAUUUACUGGGUGUAAAGGGUGCUCAGGCGGAUUUGUAAGUCAGAGGUGAAAUCUUACAGCUUAACUGUGAAACUGCCUUUGAUACUGCAAGCCUAGAGUAUGGAAGAGAGUGAUGGAAUAUCUGGUGUAGCAGUGAAAUGCGUAGAUAUCAGAUAGAACACCAAUGGCGAAGGCAGUCACUCGGUCCAUUACUGACGCUAAAGCACGAAAGCGUGGGUAGCAAACA
RNAcentral lists this ribosomal RNA (419 nucleotides) under uncultured bacterium. Its description in RNAcentral is "bacterial SSU rRNA". It matches the Rfam family "Bacterial small subunit ribosomal RNA", at positions 356 to 774 of the family's 1533-position model. The record is from RNAcentral.